UGCCCUUUCGUCCUCUGGCUGGCAUCUCAGCAGUGAGAAUAAAAGUGUCUGUGUUGUGGCUUCUCAGGGCCUCCUGCCUGCAAACAGACAGUUUGGUGACCAGUGAGGGAAGUUGCUGACUGCCACGGCUACUGCUGUCCAUUUGGACUCUAGAGCUGGGAGCCUUGCCUAGGUUGUCCAGCACCCUGCCAGUCCCACCCAUACAGCCUCAGAGACUGUGUGUCAUUCUUUCCUUUUUCCUGGAAACUUCCACCCAUCUGUCUACUCCCGAAGUAUCAAAGUGGCUGAUGGAGAGGAGAGUCCCAGGAACAGCCUGCUCCAGAACCAAGUGGCAAAGCCAAGAAACUUUGAAAACAUACGGAAUAGUCUGUAAGAAAAGUUAAGUUUCAGAUAGUCCUUGGAAUUGAGGAGGAUAUGAUCUCUCACAAGCUUGCUGUGGGUUUUUUUGUGUGCCCAGCCUGAAGCCCCUCCAUUCCUGGGAGCUUGCGCCCAUCUUCAGACUUAGUGGGGACUCUUCAAGGACCUUCUGGAGUCAUGGGAAGAGGCCUCUCUUUUCCUACCAUGAACGAGCUUUUUGUGCCUG
Long non-coding RNA from Nannospalax galili (Upper Galilee mountains blind mole rat), 583 nucleotides. RefSeq lists it as uncharacterized. The transcript has 3 exons. NCBI's taxonomy places the organism in Eukaryota, Metazoa, Chordata, Mammalia, Rodentia, Spalacidae. The record is from RefSeq and is a predicted model, not a curated record.